This 203-nucleotide long non-coding RNA is filed under the name Brassica napus (rape). RNAcentral describes it as "long non-coding RNA (BNAP_LNC003304)". Lineage: Eukaryota; Viridiplantae; Streptophyta; Magnoliopsida; Brassicales; Brassicaceae. The record is from RNAcentral.
AACCCGCAGAGGGGAGUGGAAAUCCAGAUCUUUGCCAAGUCUCUCGCGCCGGUUUACAAUGGAAAAGGACGUGGCAAAUACUCUCCUCCUGCAAAACAUCUCGUGCACGUCUUAUCCAAAGCGAUACCUCGGGUGCUAAGUCGUUGACGGACAGCUAAUGCUCCAGAUAACGCUCUCCACAUAAAGUGCUUGAGCUUUGGGGG